This 206-nucleotide ribosomal RNA is filed under the name uncultured Staphylococcus sp. Its description in RNAcentral is "partial 16S ribosomal RNA". It matches the Rfam family "Bacterial small subunit ribosomal RNA", at positions 524 to 728 of the family's 1533-position model. Lineage: Bacteria; Bacillati; Bacillota; Bacilli; Caryophanales; Staphylococcaceae. The record is from RNAcentral.
UACGUAGGUGGCAAGCGUUAUCCGGAAUUAUUGGGCGUAAAGCGCGCGUAGGCGGUUUUUUAAGUCUGAUGUGAAAGCCCACGGCUCAACCGUGGAGGGUCAAUUGGAAAGCUGGAAACUUGAUGUGCAGAAGAGGAAAGUGGAUUCCAUGUGUAGCGGUGAAAUGCGCAGAGAUAUGGAGGAACACCAGUGGCGAAGGCGACUUU